AUAAUUUAAACUAAACUUUUUUGAACAAGGUUGCAUAAUUUAUUAAAUAAUAAUUUUU
Molecule: transfer RNA, 58 nt
Filed under: Hexamermis agrotis
Lineage: Eukaryota; Metazoa; Nematoda; Enoplea; Mermithida; Mermithidae
Description: tRNA-Ser
Source: RNAcentral